This 19-nucleotide ribosomal RNA is filed under the name Thrips tabaci. RNAcentral's name for it is "partial 28S ribosomal RNA". Lineage: Eukaryota; Metazoa; Arthropoda; Insecta; Thysanoptera; Thripidae. The record is from RNAcentral.
CCACCUCAGUUCAGGAGAG